GAUGAACGCUGGCGGCGUGCCUAAUACAUGCAAGUCGAGCGAACAGAUGAGGAGCUUGCUCCUCUGACGUUAGCGGCGGACGGGUGAGUAACACGUGGAUAACCUACCUAUAAGACUGGGAUAACUUCGGGAAACCGGAGCUAAUACCGGAUAAUAUAUUGAACCGCAUGGUUCAAUAGUGAAAGACGGUUUUGCUGUCACUUAUAGAUGGAUCCGCGCCGCAUUAGCUAGUUGGUAAGGUAACGGCUUUCCAAGGCAACGAUGCGUAGCCGACCUGAGAGGGUGAUCGGCCACACUGGAACUGAGACACGGUCCAGACUCCUACGGGAGGCAGCAGUAGGGAAUCUUCCGCAAUGGGCGAAAGCCUGACGGAGCAACGCCGCGUGAGUGAUGAAGGUCUUCGGAUCGUAAAACUCUGUUAUUAGGGAAGAACAAAUGUGUAAGUAACUAUGCACGUCUUGACGGUACCUAAUCAGAAAGCCACGGCUAACUACGUG
This 497-nucleotide ribosomal RNA is filed under the name uncultured bacterium. RNAcentral describes it as "partial 16S ribosomal RNA". It matches the Rfam family "Bacterial small subunit ribosomal RNA", at positions 28 to 507 of the family's 1533-position model. The record is from RNAcentral.